CGAGGGGCAGCAUGGUCUUAGCUUGCUAAGACUGAUGGCGACCGGCGCACGGGUGAGUAACACGUAUCCAACCUGCCGUCUACUCUUGGACAGCCUUCUGAAAGGAAGAUUAAUACAAGAUGGCAUCAUGAGUCCACAUGUUCACAUGAUUAAAGGUAUUCCGGUAGACGAUGGGGAUGCGUUCCAUUAGAUAGUAGGCGGGGUAACGGCCCACCUAGUCUUCGAUGGAUAGGGGUUCUGAGAGGAAGGUCCCCCACAUUGGAACUGAGACACGGUCCAAACUCCUACGGGAGGCAGCAGUGAGGAAUAUUGGUCAAUGGGCGAGAGCCUGAACCAGCCAAGUAGCGUGAAGGAUGACUGCCCUAUGGGUUGUAACUUCUUUUAUAAAGGAAUAAAGUCGGGUAUGCAUACCCGUUUGCAUGUACUUUAUGAAUAAGGAUCGGCUAACUCCGUGCCAGCAGCCGCGGUAAUACGGAGGAUCCGAGCGUUAUCCGGAUUUAUUGGGUUUAAAGGGAGCGUAGAUGGAUGUUUAAGUCAGUUGUGAAAGUUUGCGGCUCAACCGUAAAAUUGCAGUUGAUACUGGAUAUCUUGAGUGCAGUUGAGGCAGGCGGAAUUCGUGGUGUAGCGGUGAAAUGCUUAGAUAUCACGAAGAACUCCGAUUGCGAAGGCAGCCUGCUAAGCUG
Molecule: ribosomal RNA, 683 nt
Filed under: uncultured Bacteroidales bacterium
Lineage: Bacteria; Pseudomonadati; Bacteroidota; Bacteroidia; Bacteroidales
Description: bacterial SSU rRNA
Rfam family: Bacterial small subunit ribosomal RNA
Source: RNAcentral